RNAcentral lists this ribosomal RNA (396 nucleotides) under uncultured bacterium. RNAcentral describes it as "partial 16S ribosomal RNA". It matches the Rfam family "Bacterial small subunit ribosomal RNA", at positions 523 to 918 of the family's 1533-position model. The record is from RNAcentral.
AUACGUAGGUGGCAAGCGUUGUCCGGAUUUACUGGGCGUAAAGGGAGCGUAGGUGGAUAUUUAAGUGGGAUGUGAAAUACUCGGGCUUAACCUGGGUGCUGCAUUCCAAACUGGAUAUCUAGAGUGCAGGAGAGGAAAGGAGAAUUCCUAGUGUAGCGGUGAAAUGCGUAGAGAUUAGGAAGAAUACCAGUGGCGAAGGCGCCUUUCUGGACUGUAACGGACACUGAGGCGCGAAAGCGUGGGGGGCAAACGGGAUUAGAUCCCCUGGUAGUCCACGCCGUAAACGAUGAAUACUAGGUGUAGGGGUUGUCAUGACCUCUGUGCCGCCGCUAACGCAUUAAGUAUUCCGCCUGGGGAGUACGGUCGCAAGAUUAAAACUCAAAGGAAUUGGCGGGG